This 230-nucleotide ribosomal RNA is filed under the name uncultured bacterium. RNAcentral's name for it is "partial 16S ribosomal RNA". It matches the Rfam family "Bacterial small subunit ribosomal RNA", at positions 568 to 796 of the family's 1533-position model. The record is from RNAcentral.
UGCGUAGGCGGUUUGAUAAGUCAGUUGUGAAAUUCCCCGGCUUAACCGGCGGGACUGCGAUUGAUACUGUCAAACUUGAAUCAGGUUGAGGUAGGCGGAAUGUGGCAUGUAGCGGUGAAACGCAUAGAUAUGCCAUAGAACACCGAUUGCGAAGGCAGCUUGCUGGACCUUGAUUGACGCUGAGGCACGAAAGCGUGGGGAGCGAACAGGAUUAGAUACCCUGGUAGUCC